Non-coding RNA from Odobenus rosmarus divergens (Pacific walrus), 582 nucleotides. The record is from the annotation of a RefSeq genome assembly. NCBI's taxonomy places the organism in Eukaryota, Metazoa, Chordata, Mammalia, Carnivora, Odobenidae.
AUGACCUCCACCAUGGCCUGGUCCCCGCUCCUCCUCAGCCUCCUCGCUCACUGCACAGGGUCCUGGGCCCAGUCUGUGCUGACUCAGCCGGCUUCCGUGUCUGGAGCCCUGGGCCAGACGGUCACCAUCUCCUGCAGCUCCAUCAGUGGUAGUUAUGUGAGCUGGUACCAACAGCUCCCAGGAAAAGCCCCCAGAACCAUCAUCUAUGGUAAUAACAAACGACCCUCUGGGGUCCCGGAUCGAUUCUCUGGCUCCAAGUCUGGCAACUCAGCCACCCUGACCAUCACUGGGCUCCAGGCUGAGGACGAGGCUGAGUAUUACUGUGCAUCGGGUGACAGCACAGGCAGUUUUGGGGGAGGUACAGAGCUUUUCCUAAAUCCGGUUCCUUUCCCAAAAACCUACUACAACGUUCUCCUAUUGUCUCUAGACCCCAGCAUCACCCUCUCUGUGUCUCUCCCCCUUGCAGGGUCCUGGGCCCAGUCUGUGCUGACUCAGCCACCCUCCGUGUCUGGGGCCCUGGGCAAGAGGGUCACCAUCUCCUGCACUGGAAGCAGCUCCAACCCCAGGGAUUAUGCGCUUUAG